RNAcentral lists this transfer RNA (75 nucleotides) under Alphaproteobacteria bacterium RIFCSPHIGHO2_01_FULL_40_8. Its description in RNAcentral is "tRNA-Gly". It matches the Rfam family "tRNA". From Rfam's summary of the family: Transfer RNA (tRNA) molecules are approximately 80 nucleotides in length. Their secondary structure includes four short double-helical elements and three loops (D, anti-codon, and T loops). Lineage: Bacteria; Pseudomonadati; Pseudomonadota; Alphaproteobacteria. The record is from RNAcentral. RNAcentral also lists the same sequence under 2 other names.
GCGGGUGUCGUAUAGUGGUUAUUAUGUCAGUUUUCCAAACUGAUGAUGCGGGUCCGAUUCCCGCCACCCGCUCCA